RNAcentral lists this ribosomal RNA (385 nucleotides) under uncultured bacterium. RNAcentral describes it as "bacterial SSU rRNA". It matches the Rfam family "Bacterial small subunit ribosomal RNA", at positions 28 to 412 of the family's 1533-position model. The record is from RNAcentral.
GAUGAACGCUAGCGGCAGGCUUAAUACAUGCAAGUCGAGGGGCAGCACGGUUAGCAAUAACUGGUGGCGACCGGCGCACGGGUGCGUAACACGUAUACAAUCUACCUUAAACAGGGGGAUAGCCUUUCGAAAGAGAGAUUAAUACCCCGUAAUAAAUUGAACGGCAUCGUUUGAUUUUGAAAGCUCCGGCGGUUUGAGAUGAGUAUGCGUCUGAUUAGCUAGUUGGUGAGGUAACGGCUCACCAAGGCGACGAUCAGUAGGGGAUCUGAGAGGACUAACCCCCACACUGGUACUGAGACACGGACCAGACUCCUACGGGAGCAGCAGUAAGGAAUAUUGGUCAAUGGAGGCAACUCUGAACCAGCCAUGCCGCGUGCAGGAUGAC